Paramacrobiotus metropolitanus is the source of this 772-nucleotide long non-coding RNA. RefSeq lists it as uncharacterized. NCBI's taxonomy places the organism in Eukaryota, Metazoa, Tardigrada, Eutardigrada, Parachela, Macrobiotidae. The record is from RefSeq and is a predicted model, not a curated record. The transcript is spliced from 3 exons.
CGGAGCAGCGGCUGUAUAUAAACCGCCGGUAAUAAAAAAUGCCAGUAUGUAGAUUUGCGCUUUUGUGCUGGUGAGGCAACUUGUGCUGUCACACUUGUUAAGUCAGCAAUCGCAUUUUUAUCUCUGAUACUCCAGAAAUUCGGAUGCCGCUUGGCCUAUUCGAUCACAGAUUCACGAGAGCAACUGCUUCGUUUUCAGUCUCGUCUUUCAGGCAGUGGAUAGGAUGUCGUCAUCAAGAAUAUGGAUCGCCGUAGUUAUAAUGGCCAUGUUGCUGACGGUUUCACCACCAACAGAGGCUGGACCGGCAGCGUACGGGAUCUGCCAGGCCGGAUGCGCUGCUGUCGCGGUAGCGUGCUACGCAGCGGGAGGCGCCGUGUUCGGCACAGUGACGGCCGGUGUCGGUAUCCCGGCCGCCAUUGUGGCUUGUAACAGCGCGUUCGGGACGUGUCAGGCAGCGUGCUGGGCAGCUCUGCUCGCUCCUACACCGUAGUCCGGGUAAAUCCCAGUUGUCAAGUGCUAUGGUAUAUCGUUAUCAGAGUGAUCCGUCUGCAGUUCCAAAUGUUCGCGGUGAUUAAAAUGAGCAAGUGCGUCAUAAUACUUUGAUAAUUUUGUUUAAACCACUGAUUUGGUCUACUGUCAUGCUAUUUAUUCCUGUAUUGGAAUUUUGUAGCAAUUUAUCGAGCACAUGCAAACUGUUUAGUAUCAAAAAUUUUGUGUUUUAAAUUUGUUAGCCAUGGCACAAUAAUUAAAACUAAACAUUAACCUGUGAUAA